UUUUGGACAAUGGGCGCAAGCCUGAUCCAGCCAUUCCGCGUGAGUGAAGAAGGCCUUCGGGUUGUAAAGCUCUUUCGCAAGGGAAGAAAACUUACUUUUUAAUAAAGAGUGAGGUUGACGGUACCUUGAUAAGAAGCACCGGCUAACUACGUGCCAGCAGCCGCGGUAAUACGUAGGGUGCGAGCGUUAAUCGGAAUUACUGGGCGUAAAGCGUGCGCAGGCGGCUUUGUAAGUCAGAUGUGAAAUCCCCGAGCUCAACCUGGGAACUGCGUUUUGAACUGGGUAACUAGAGUGUGUCAGAGGGGGGUAGAAUUCCACGUGUAGCAGUGAAAUGCGUAGAGAUGUGGAGGAAUACCGAUGGCGAAGGCGGCCCCCUGGGAGUGGCAACUGACGUUCAUGCCGAGG
RNAcentral lists this ribosomal RNA (405 nucleotides) under uncultured bacterium. RNAcentral describes it as "bacterial SSU rRNA". It matches the Rfam family "Bacterial small subunit ribosomal RNA", at positions 362 to 758 of the family's 1533-position model. The record is from RNAcentral.